GACGAACGCUGGCGGCGUGCCUAAUACAUGCAAGUUGAGCGCUGAAGGUUGGUACUUGUACCAACUGGAUGAGCAGCGAACGGGUGAGUAACGCGUGGGGAAUCUGCCUUUGAGCGGGGGACAACAUUUGGAAACGAAUGCUAAUACCGCAUAAAAACUUUAAACACAAGUUUUAAGUUUGAAAGAUGCAAUUGCAUCACUCAAAGAUGAUCCCGCGUUGUAUUAGCUAGUUGGUGAGGUAAAGGCUCACCAAGGCGAUGAUACAUAGCCGACCUGAGAGGGUGAUCGGCCACAAUUGGACUGAGACACGGCCCAAACUCCUACGGGAGGCAGCAGUAGGGAAUCUUCGGCAAUGGACGAAAGUCUGACCGAGCAACGCCGCGGGAGGGAAGAAGGGUUUCGGAUCGUAAAACUCUGUUGGUAGAGAAGAACGUUGGUGAGAGUGGAAAGCUCAUCAAGUGACGGUAACUACCCAGAAAGGGACGGCUAACUACGUG
RNAcentral lists this ribosomal RNA (497 nucleotides) under uncultured bacterium. Its description in RNAcentral is "partial 16S ribosomal RNA". It matches the Rfam family "Bacterial small subunit ribosomal RNA", at positions 28 to 507 of the family's 1533-position model. The record is from RNAcentral.